RNAcentral lists this ribosomal RNA (253 nucleotides) under uncultured bacterium. Its description in RNAcentral is "partial 16S ribosomal RNA". It matches the Rfam family "Bacterial small subunit ribosomal RNA", at positions 524 to 776 of the family's 1533-position model. The record is from RNAcentral.
UACGAACCGGACAAACGUUAUUCGGAAUCAUUGGGCUUAAAGGGUGCGCAGGCGGCCGUUCAAGUCGGGUGUGAAAUCCCUCGGCUCAACCGAGGAAUUGCGCCCGAUACUGUUCGGCUAGAGGGAGACAGAGGCGAGCGGAACUGAUGGUGGAGCGGUGAAAUGCGUUGAUAUCAUCAGGAACACCGGUGGCGAAGGCGGCUCGCUGGGUCUCUUCUGACGCUCAUGCACGAAAGCUAGGGUAGCGAACAGG